ACCCUACCCAAACAGAACAAUACCUUCUCCAUUUUCUCGCUGAAUCCCCUCUACCAUGGCUUCACGCAGAAUCUUAUCGUCACUUCUCCGAUCGGCUUCACGCCGAUCUGCAUCAUCUUCCAACCCUAAGCUAUUCUCUCCAUCCCCGGUCUCCGCUCGCCGCGCAUCUCCCUAUGGCCACCUCCUCAACCGUACAUCUGAGUACGCUACCUCCGCCG
Molecule: long non-coding RNA, 218 nt
Filed under: Linum usitatissimum (flax)
Lineage: Eukaryota; Viridiplantae; Streptophyta; Magnoliopsida; Malpighiales; Linaceae
Description: long non-coding RNA (LUSI_LNC000210)
Source: RNAcentral